CCUACGGGUGGCAGCAGUGGGGGAUAUUGCACAAUGGGGGAAACCCUGAUGCAGCGACGCCGCGUGAGCGAUGAAGUAUUUCGGUAUGUAAAGCUCUAUCAGCAGGGAAGAAAAUGACGGUACCUGACUACGAAGCCCCGGCUAACUACGUGCCAGCCGCCGCGGUCAUACGUAGGGGGCGAGCGUUAUCCGGAUUCACUGGGUGUAAAGGGAGCGUAGACGGCCAAGCAAGCCAGGGGUGAAAGCCCGGGGCCCAACCCCGGGACUGCCCUUGGAACUGCAUGGCUGGAGUGCGGGAGGGGCAGGCGGAAUGCCUGGUGUAGCGGUGAAAUGCGUAGAUAUCAGGAGGAACACCGGCGGCGAAGGCGGCCUGCUGGACCGCGACUGACGUUGAGGCUCGAAAGCGUGGGGAGCGAACAGGAUUAGAUACCCCAGUAGUC
RNAcentral lists this ribosomal RNA (440 nucleotides) under uncultured bacterium. RNAcentral describes it as "partial 16S ribosomal RNA". It matches the Rfam family "Bacterial small subunit ribosomal RNA", at positions 338 to 795 of the family's 1533-position model. The record is from RNAcentral.